ACGAACGCUGGCGGCGUGCUUCACGCAUGCAAGUCGAACGGUGAAGCGCCUUCCUUUUUGGUGGGUGUGGAUGAGUGGCGAACGGGUGAGUAACACGUGAGUAACCUGCCCCCUUCUUCUGGAUAACCGCAUGAAAGUGUGGCUAAUACGGGAUAUUCUGGGUCUGUCGCAUGAUGGGUCUGGGAAAGAUAUUGUUUCGGUGGGGGAUGGGCUCGCGGCCUAUCAGCUUGUUGGUGGGGUGAUGGCCUACCAAGGCGGUGACGGGUAGCCGGCCUGAGAGGGUGGACGGUCACACUGGGACUGAGACACGGCCCAGACUCCUACGGGAGGCAGCAGUGGGGAAUAUUGCACAAUGGGCGCAAGCCUGAUGCAGCGACGCCGCGUGAGGGAUGGAGGCCUUCGGGUUGUGAACCUCUUUCGCCAGUGAAGCAGGCCUGCCUCGUUUGUGGGUGGGUUGACGGUAGCUGGAUAAGAAGCGCCGGCUAACUACGUG
RNAcentral lists this ribosomal RNA (493 nucleotides) under uncultured bacterium. RNAcentral describes it as "partial 16S ribosomal RNA". It matches the Rfam family "Bacterial small subunit ribosomal RNA", at positions 29 to 507 of the family's 1533-position model. The record is from RNAcentral.